RNAcentral lists this ribosomal RNA (252 nucleotides) under uncultured bacterium. RNAcentral's name for it is "partial 16S ribosomal RNA". It matches the Rfam family "Bacterial small subunit ribosomal RNA", at positions 524 to 776 of the family's 1533-position model. The record is from RNAcentral.
UACGUAGGGUGCAAGCGUUGUCCGGAAUUAUUGGGCGUAAAGAGCUCGUAGGCGGUUUGUCGCGUCGGCUGUGAAAGCCCGGAGCUCAACUCCGGGUCUGCAGUCGAUACGGGCAGACUUGAGUGUUGCAGGGGAGACUGGAAUUCCUGGUGUAGCGGUGAAAUGCGCAGAGUAUCAGGAGGAACACCGGUGCGAAGGCGGGUCUCUGGGCAACAACUGACGCUGAGGAGCGAAAGCGUGGGAGCGAACAGG